GCGUAAGCAAUCUACCUUCAAGAUGGGGACAACACUUCGAAAGGGGUGCUAAUACCGAAUGAAUGUAAGAGUAUCGCAUGAGACACUUACUAAAGGAGGCCUCUGAAUAUGCUUUCGCUUGAAGAUGAGCUUGCGUCUGAUUAGCUAGUUGGUGAGGGUAAAGGCCCACCAAGGCGACGAUCAGUAGCCGGUCUGAGAGGAUGAACGGCCACAUUGGGACUGAGACACG
Molecule: ribosomal RNA, 229 nt
Filed under: Megamonas funiformis
Lineage: Bacteria; Bacillati; Bacillota; Negativicutes; Selenomonadales; Selenomonadaceae
Description: partial 16S ribosomal RNA
Rfam family: Bacterial small subunit ribosomal RNA
Source: RNAcentral